Molecule: ribosomal RNA, 351 nt
Filed under: uncultured eukaryote
Lineage: Eukaryota
Description: SSU rRNA
Rfam family: Eukaryotic small subunit ribosomal RNA
Source: RNAcentral
AGCUCCAAUAGCGUAUAUUAAAGUUGUUGCGGUUAAAAAGCUCGUAGUUGGAUUUCUGCUGAGGACGACCGGUCCGCCCUCUGGGUGUGCAUCUGGUUAUGCCUGAGCAUUAUCUUGGAAAACACAACUGCACUUGACUGUGUGGUGUGGUAUCCAAGGCUUUUACUUUGAGGAAAUCAGAGUGCUUCCAGCAGGCACAUGCCUUGAAUACAUUAGCAUGGAAUAAUAAGGUAAGGCUUUUGGUUUUAUUUUGUUGGUUUUUAGAAUUGAGGCAAUGAUUAAUAGGGAUAGUUGGGGGCAUUUGUAUUUAACUGUCAGAGGUGAAAUUCUUGGAUUUGUUAAAGACAAACU